AUCAAUGGAUGUAUGAUGCUGCAAGUUAAUAAUUUCGUCAGGCUUUCAGUAAGUACCAACUUUUGCUAUUGAAAAUUUAAUAUUUGCCUGUUUACUUUGCAAGAUUAGGGUCGGAGCAUGAAUUUUACGGUAUUAAGUGCAAGAGUUGUUUGAAUCAUUGUGUGUUUUUGGAUUGAUUUUCUCUGUGACAGGUUCCUUCAUAAUGACAAGCUCUGGACAUUGCUAACACAUUAGCCAAUUCCACUUUACAAUGCUUUGUUUUUGUUUAUUUUAACUCCAUAGAGUAAUUUGUGGGACUCCUUCUAACAAGGAUAAUAGAGUAAAGAAGUACUAAAAGGUCCUAGUUCUCAGAUUACAUUAAUACAUAAAAAUAAAUUUCAAAAACAGGUUUUUUGAUCCACCAUAUGGAGUAUAACGCACUCUUUUGCUAUUGAAAGUUUCGAUAGCUAAUCUCAUGACCUUCUUAAUCAUUAGGUAGGGAGCUUUAGCACCUGCAAGACCAUAUAUGCUUUUAUUAAAUUCAGUAGGUUUACUGCCAUAACUUAAACUCUUUCAUAUUUAUGUGAAAUUAUGUAAUUUUGCUUUAUGUUUUGGUGCUUCUUUUUUCUGAGAUUGAUUUCCUUUUACUUUUUAUGUUUGAAAGAUACAUUCAUACAGAGAACUAAGAAAUUGUACCACGACACUUAUACUCAGCGGACUAUUUCAAAGUUGAAUAAUGAACUCUAUGAAUUCCACCAAAUAAUGACUUGCAAUGUUCAGGAAGUUCUUGGCGUUGGUGAAAAGUUGGAUUAGGUCAGCCAAAUGUCUAAUCGUUUAACAUCAAAGUCUCGUGCAUAUGCAGAUAAGGCGAGAGACUUGAAUCAACAGGCUCUGAUCCGAAAGUGGGCUCCUGUUGCCAUGCUCUGCAGGUGCUAAAGCUCUCUACAAAAUCUCUAAAAGAGAACUUUCAUUUCUAGUGACGAGUUCCAAGUGCAAGGGAAGAAGAGAUUCCAAGAUUUAGGGAAGUGAUCAGGAGGAUGCCAAAAAC
RNAcentral lists this long non-coding RNA (1027 nucleotides) under Rosa chinensis. Its description in RNAcentral is "sRNA RchiOBHm_Chr5g0070571". Lineage: Eukaryota; Viridiplantae; Streptophyta; Magnoliopsida; Rosales; Rosaceae. The record is from RNAcentral.